AACCGGAUCUAGGCACCCAGCUCAAGACACCCUCCUGGGAGAAGGGUAGUUGCCAGACAGAGCUCUGCAGAUCUUCCAUGGACAGGCUGUUGCCAUUGGGGGAGCUUACAUUGACAAAAGUUUUCUGGUGAUGAAAGCAUGACAGUAGCUGCUAGAAUGAAACCUGACUCUUCUAAAGAGCAACAGAAACUCCUUCCACAGUUAAUAAACAAAUUUUAUUAAACAACUUAAUAAUUAC
Molecule: long non-coding RNA, 238 nt
Organism: Hirundo rustica (Barn swallow)
Lineage: Eukaryota; Metazoa; Chordata; Aves; Passeriformes; Hirundinidae
Exons: 3
Source: RefSeq, a predicted model, not a curated record